CCUACGGGGGGCAGCAGUGGGGAAUAUUGGACAAUGGGCGAAAGCCUGAUCCAGCCAUGCCGCGUGUGUGAAGAAGGCCUUCGGGUUGUAAAGCACUUUCAGUGGGGAAGAAAGCCUUGGGGCUAAUACCCUCGAGGAAGGACAUCACCCACAGAAGAAGCACCGGCUAACUCCGUGCCAGCAGCCGCGGUAAUACGGAGGGUGCGGGCGUUAAUCGGAAUUACUGGGCGUAAAGCGCGCGUAGGCGGUCUGAUAAGCCGGUUGUGAAAGCCCCGGGCUCAACCUGGGAACGGCAUCCGGAACUGUCAGGCUAGAGUGCAGGAGAGGAAGGUAGAAUUCCCGGUGUAGCGGUGAAAUGCGUAGAGAUCGGGAGGAAUACCAGUGGCGAAGGCGGCCUUCUGGACUGACACUGACGCUGAGGUGCGAAAGCGUGGGUAGCAAACAGGAUUAGAUACCCCUGUAGUC
RNAcentral lists this ribosomal RNA (465 nucleotides) under Vreelandella stevensii. RNAcentral's name for it is "partial 16S ribosomal RNA". It matches the Rfam family "Bacterial small subunit ribosomal RNA", at positions 338 to 795 of the family's 1533-position model. Lineage: Bacteria; Pseudomonadati; Pseudomonadota; Gammaproteobacteria; Oceanospirillales; Halomonadaceae. The record is from RNAcentral.